GACGAACGCUGGCGGCGUGCCUAAUACAUGCAAGUAGAACGCACAGUUUAUAUCGUAGCUUGCUACACCAUAGACUGUGAGUUGCGAACGGGUGAGUAACGCGUAGGUAACCUGCCUGGUAGCGGGGGAUAACUCUUGGAAACGAUAGCUAAUACCGCAUAAUAUUGAUUAUUGCAUGAUAAUUGAUUGAAAGAUGCUAUUGCAUCACUACCAGAUGGACCUGCGUUGUAUUAGCUAGUAGGUGAGGUAACGGCUCACCUAGGCGACGAUACAUAGCCGACCUGAGAGGGUGAUCGGCCACACUGGGACUGAGACACGGCCCAGACUCCUACGGGAGGCAGCAGUAGGGAAUCUUCGGCAAUGGACGAAAGUCUGACCGAGCAACGCCGCGUGAGUGAAGAAGGUUUUCGGAUCGUAAAGCUCUGUUGUAAGAGAAGAACGGGUGUGAGAGUGGAAAGUUCACACUGUGACGGUAUCUUACCAGAAAGGGACGGCUAACUACGUG
This 505-nucleotide ribosomal RNA is filed under the name uncultured bacterium. RNAcentral describes it as "partial 16S ribosomal RNA". It matches the Rfam family "Bacterial small subunit ribosomal RNA", at positions 28 to 507 of the family's 1533-position model. The record is from RNAcentral.